RNAcentral lists this ribosomal RNA (424 nucleotides) under uncultured bacterium. RNAcentral's name for it is "bacterial SSU rRNA". It matches the Rfam family "Bacterial small subunit ribosomal RNA", at positions 355 to 776 of the family's 1533-position model. The record is from RNAcentral.
UGAGGAAUAUUGGUCAAUGGGCGCGAGCCUGAACCAGCCAAGUAGCGUGAAGGAUGACUGCCCUACGGGUUGUAAACUUCUUUUAUAAAGGAAUAAAGUGAGGCACGUGUGCCUUUUUGUAUGUACCAUAUGAAUAAGGAUCGGCUAACUCCGUGCCAGCAGCCGCGGUAAUACGGAGGAUCCGAGCGUUAUCCGGAUUUAUUGGGUUUAAAGGGAGCGUAGGUGGACAGUUAAGUCAGUUGUGAAAGUUUGCGGCUCAACCGUAAAAUUGCAGUUGAUACUGGCUGUCUUGAGUACAGUAGAGGUGGGCGGAAUUCGUGGUGUAGCGGUGAAAUGCUUAGAUAUCACGAAGAACUCCGAUUGCGAAGGCAGCUCACUGGACUGCAACUGACACUGAUGCUCGAAAGUGUGGGUAUCAAACAGG